GUGUUGUAGCUCAGUGAUAGAGUGCUUGCCUAGCAUGUAUGAGGCACUGGGUUUGAUUCUCAGCACUGCAUA
Molecule: transfer RNA, 72 nt
Filed under: Marmota monax (woodchuck)
Lineage: Eukaryota; Metazoa; Chordata; Mammalia; Rodentia; Sciuridae
Description: tRNA.Ala
Rfam family: tRNA (bases 5-65)
About the family: Transfer RNA (tRNA) molecules are approximately 80 nucleotides in length.
Source: RNAcentral